This 75-nucleotide non-coding RNA is filed under the name unclassified sequences. Its description in RNAcentral is "RAGATH-18 RNA". It matches the Rfam family "RAGATH-18 RNA". Rfam says of the family: Actinobacteria, Firmicutes, Fusobacteria, Thermotogae (1 example). Nearby to self-cleaving ribozyme genes The record is from Rfam by way of RNAcentral.
ACUAUGAAGUGUACUAGGACCUGUGAGUAGAUAUGAUUUCGGUCAAAUCCAAAGCAUACACGAAUGAUAUAGUAA